RNAcentral lists this ribosomal RNA (469 nucleotides) under uncultured bacterium. Its description in RNAcentral is "partial 16S ribosomal RNA". It matches the Rfam family "Bacterial small subunit ribosomal RNA", at positions 28 to 507 of the family's 1533-position model. The record is from RNAcentral.
GACGAACGCUGGCGGCGUGCUUAACACAUGCAAGUCGAACGGAAAGGCCCUGCUUUUGUGGGGUGCUCGAGUGGCGAACGGGUGAGUAACACGUGAGUAACCUGCCCUUGACUUUGGGAUAACUUCAGGAAACUGGGGCUAAUACCGGAUAGGAGCUCCUGCUGCAUGGUGGGGGUUGGAAAGUUUCGGCGGUUGGGGAUGGACUCGCGGCUUAUCAGCUUGUUGGUGGGGUAGUGGCUUACCAAGGCUUUGACGGGUAGCCGGCCUGCGAGGGUGACCGGCCACAGUGGGACUGAGUUACGGCCCAGACUCCUACGGGAGGCAGCAGUGUGGGAAUAUUGCACAAUGGGCGGAAGCCUGAUGCAGCAACGCCGCGUGCGGGAUGACGGCCUUCGGGUUGUAAACCGCUUUCGCCUGUGACGAAGCGUGAGUGACGGUAAUGGGUAAAGAAGCACCGGCUAACUACGUG